This is an RNA transcript of Hordeum vulgare subsp. vulgare (domesticated barley), 954 nucleotides long. RefSeq lists it as uncharacterized. Lineage: Eukaryota; Viridiplantae; Streptophyta; Magnoliopsida; Poales; Poaceae. The transcript is spliced from 3 exons. The record is from RefSeq and is a predicted model, not a curated record.
ACCAAACCAGUCAAAAUCCGAUUCCAACCAACCACCAACCACCAACCACAUCCCCAAGUGCGAAUCCGCCCGCCCAACGCCGACACGGCACCAGAACACCCCGUCACAGCGGCGCGCCUCCGAGCCAACCCCCCGCGCGGCGGCCACCCUCUACCAACGUCCUAGGAUCCCGCCGGUUGCGCUGCGCCGCUGCCGAGGGAGAGAUGCGGCGGUCGUCGAGCGGGGCGCGCGUGUCGGAGGGCGGCGACGCGUCCUCGUCCUCUUCCUCGUCGGGCCACCACGGCGACGGCACGGCGCUCCCGACGUUCGACCCGCAGUCGGCGGCGGGCCGGCGGGAGGCGUCGCGGACCCGGGCGCUGGGGCGCGCCGUGCACUGCAUCCCGCUGUUGCUGCUACUCUGCGCCCUCGUGCUCUGGCUCUCCGCCGCCUCCACCUCCCCGGUCCACCUCGACUGAUAGUAGAAGGGUAUGGCAAAUGGACUUAAUAUCUGGUUUCCACAGAGUUCCCCCCAAAAGGGUACGGUGAAGUAGAUCAGGAAUGAUCAGGUGGUACAGGAGGCUUUAAGUUGGUGAUUGGAAGGUUCAGUACAGCAGCAACCUCACCUACUAGGUGGCUACUUUGGAAUAUUCUUUUCAGUUUUCACUCCAGAUUGGAGCUGGUGUGAUUUGGCCCACCAAUGCAAUUGUAUACGAAAAAACUGACCCGUUGAGGAAGUAUAUGUCAAUCAAAAGGGGGAAAAAAGCGAAUUUAUUAGUAAGUUUUCUUUCUGAACCGGGUUUACACCCCUUUCCAUUACUUAUUAACGGAAAUACAUCAGUUCCAGAAUUCACAGAACGGGAAAGAAAGUAACGCGGCUUCAACGCACUGCUCAGGAAACCUGGCGCAUUCGCCCGCCAUUGAAACGAAUGCUACGGAGCGAAAACCUGGCAACACCAUAAUUCAAAACACAACCCU